This 70-nucleotide transfer RNA is filed under the name Stegodyphus mimosarum. It matches the Rfam family "tRNA". Rfam says of the family: Transfer RNA (tRNA) molecules are approximately 80 nucleotides in length. Their secondary structure includes four short double-helical elements and three loops (D, anti-codon, and T loops). The record is from Rfam by way of RNAcentral. Lineage: Eukaryota; Metazoa; Arthropoda; Arachnida; Araneae; Eresidae.
GCCUUAGUAGUGUAACGGUAAUACCCUCAGGCGUAAUCGAGAAGUCCAGGUUCGAGUCCUGGCGAAAGCA